GGGCCCUUAGCUUAGUCUGGUUCAAAGCCCCCGGCUCAUAACCGGGUGAUCGCUGGUUCAAAUCCGGCAGGGCCCA
This 76-nucleotide transfer RNA is filed under the name Salinirubellus salinus. RNAcentral's name for it is "tRNA-Ile". It matches the Rfam family "tRNA". From Rfam's summary of the family: Transfer RNA (tRNA) molecules are approximately 80 nucleotides in length. Lineage: Archaea; Methanobacteriati; Methanobacteriota; Halobacteria; Halobacteriales; Natronomonadaceae. RNAcentral also lists the same sequence under 1 other name. The record is from RNAcentral.